This 4979-nucleotide long non-coding RNA is filed under the name Hordeum vulgare. RNAcentral describes it as "long non-coding RNA (HVUL_LNC005333)". Lineage: Eukaryota; Viridiplantae; Streptophyta; Magnoliopsida; Poales; Poaceae. The record is from RNAcentral.
CACCUCGUCCUCUUGAGCUAGAUGAUGAUGAUCUUGGCUUCCUCAAGAUGGACCACCUUUCUUGAUUGCGUUGGCUUGAUGAAGACUAGUUGAUUGAUCCCCCAUACUCACUAUGGGUGAGCCACUCUUCCGCAUAUCUUCACAAGUCCAUUGCCACCAUAAUGGACGGCAAGCUUCAAGCAUGAUAUCUUCGUGCUGAUCCACUUGAACUUGCACACCGCAAUCUUGAUGACGAUCACCACUUGACGUCAUCCUUCAUGGGUUGUAUGAGAUCUUCCUCUAGACGCAAGCCCAUGGAAACACACCUAACCCCCACAUAGAACUCUCACAAAGACCAUGGGUUAGUACACAAAUACGUACUGGACAAUGCUUACCAUACCAUGGGAUCACUUGAUCCCUCUUGGUACAUCUUGUACGCUUUGUGUGUCGAUCAUCUUGAUUUACUCUUUGUAUGACGAUCUUGAUCAACCUUGUGUCUCUAUGACCAUUCUUUGGAUAAUACCUUGAAUACCACCUUGGUCAUCAUAUAAACUCCUUAAACCCAACAGAUGGACUUCAAGAAGUGCCUAUGGACAAAUUCUAUAAAUAUAACUUAAGGCAACCAUUAGUACAUAGGAAUUGUCAUCAAUUACCAAAACCACAUAUGGAGAUAUAUGCUCUAACACAAGUGCUCGUUCCUGUUUUUUCCGUGUUUUGACCCUUUUCAUAGGAGGAUUUUAAACGGUGUCCAAACGGAAUAAAACUUCCGAAAAUAUUUUUUCCGGAACAUAAUAUACGCGCCAGACUUGAUAACCAAGGCAGGGGCCAGCAGGGGACCCCACAAGCCCCCUAGGCACGGACAGGGGGGCCGCGCCUAGCAGGCUUGUGGGCCCCUUGUGGCACGUCUGUCCUACCUCUUCUGCCUAUAAAUUGAGAAAAAUUCCAAAACUGCCAAAGAGAUCAACGAAAAUACUUUUCCGCCGCCGCAAGAUUCUGUCUCCGCAAGAUCCCAUCUGGGGCACGUUCUGGUGCCGUGUCGUAGGGGGGAUUCGGAUACGGAGGGCUUCUUCAUCAACGCCAUGACCUCUCCGAUGAUGCGUGAGUAGUUCACCAUAGACCUUCGGGUCCAUAGCUAGUAGCUAGAUGGCUUCUUCUCUCUCUUGGAUCUUCAAUACAAAGUUCUCCAUGAUCUUCAUGGAGAUCUAUCCGAUGUAAUCUUCUUUUACGGUGUGUUUGUCGAGAUCCGAUGAAUUGUGGAUUUAUGAUCAGAUUAUCUAUGAAUCUUAUUUGAGUUUCUUCUGAUCUCUUAUAUGCAUGAUUUCAUAUCCUUGUAAUUCUCUUCGAGUUGUGGGUUUUGUUUGGCCAACUUGAUCUAUGAUUCUUGCAAUGGGAGAAGUGCUUGGUUUUGGGUUCAUACCGUGCGGUGACCUCACCCAGUGACAGAAGGGGUAGCGAGGCACGCAUCGUGUUGUUGCCAUCAAGGGUAAAAAGAUGGGGUUUUCAUCAUUGGUUUGAGUUUAUCCCUCUACAUCAUGUCAUAUUGCUUAAAGCGUUACUCUGUUCGUCAUGAACUCAAUACACUAGAUGCAUGCUGGAUAGCGGUCCACGUGUGGAGUAAUAGUAGUAGAUGCAGAAAGUAUCGGUCUACUUGUCUCGGACGUGAUGCCUAUAUGUAUGAUCAUUGCCUUAGAUAUCGUCAUGACUUUGCGCGGUUCUAUCAAUUUCUCAACAGUAAUUUGUUCACCCACUGUAAUACUUGCUAUUUUGAGAGAAGCCUCUAGUGAACACUAUGGCCCCCAGGGUCUACUUCACACCAUAUUUUCAGCCUUACACUUUUUACUUCGUUGCACUUUCCUCCUUCAGAUCUCACUUUGCAAACAAUCUUGAAGGGAUUGACAACCCCUUUAUAGCGUUGGGUGCAAGCUCUUUUGUGUUGGUGCACGUACUCUGUACUUGACGCGAUUCUCCUACUGGAUUGAUACCUUGGUUCUCAAACUGAGGGAAAUACUUACUGCUCCUGUGCUGCAUCGCCCUUUCCUCUUCAAGGGAAAAACCAACGCAAGCUCAAGAGACAACACAAGGAUUUCUGUCGCCGUAGCAAUGAUCUAUACAUUUCUCCCCCUUAGGCAACAAGUUCCCAAAAAGUUCAAAAGUAUAGAACUACUCGUCUAUCUGGGCAGCUGAUGAUGGAGUCGAGAAAACAGCGUCGGCGAAGGCUUCUGCUGACGUCCUUGGAGCUGGAGGAGUUGAUACUGAAGGAGCUUGAGCUGGAGCUGGUGCUGAAGUUGCUGAAGCUCAUCCUGAAGAUGUAUGUCUUGUCUCCGGAGCAGGAACAACAACUGACUGGGGCCUUUUGCUGAACUGUGUAGUAGUGGGAGGAGGAGACUCAUCCUCGUCAUCAUCAUCUUCAUCUUCAUCCUCUCAGCGUGGAAUCUCCACAUAGUCAACUUCAUGUUGAAGCUGUCUGACAAUGGUGGUCAACUCGGUUACCUUCAUAUCCAUGUUGUGGAAUUUUGUCUACACAACUCUCUCAAGGCUCUUCUGAUUUUGCAUAGUCUCUUGAAUGUUCUUCUCCAUGCCUUAGACAGUGCUCACUAGAAAUGCCAUUUUCUCAGCUUGAGUUCUGAGCUGUGGAACUGGAGGUGGCCUGUUUCUAGCAGCUUCGCCCUCUGAUGCCUAUGUUGCCAUUCUUGCUGCACCUGAAUUGGGAUCAUUGUCAUCCAUCACAACCUCAUUGAAAGGACGUGGAUGUCGCCUAGAGGGGGGGUGAAUAGGUGCUUUAAAAUAAUUAAGGUUUAGGCUUGAACAAAUGCGGAAUAAAACUAACGUUUAAUAUGUCAAGCACAAAACCUCAAACAACUAGGCUCACCUAUGUGCACCAACAACUUAUGCUAAGCAAGAUAAACAACUAAGUGAUAGCAAGAUAUAUGACAAGAGACAAUAUGGCUAUCACAAAGUAGAGUGCAUAAGUAAAGGGUUCGGGUAAGAGAUAACCGAGGUACGCGGAGACGAUGAUGUAUCCCGAAGUUCACACCCUUGCGGAUGCUAAUCUCCGUUGGAGCGGUGUGGAGGCACAAUGCUCCCCAAGAUGCCACUAAGGCCACCGUAAUCUCCUCACGCCCUCGCACAAUGCAAGAUGCCGUGAUUCCACUAUGGGACCCUUGGGGGCGGUCACCGAACCCAUACAAAUGGCAAACCUUGGGGGCGGUCAUCGAACCCGUACACGUGGCAACCCUUGGGGGCGGUUACCGGUACCUGUACAAAUUGCUCGGGGCAAUCUCCACAACCUAAUAUGAGACCCCGACGCUUGCCCGGAGCUUCACACCACAAUGAUUGAGCUCUGAGACACCACCAAGCUUCUAGGACGCCAAAGCAUCCACGAAGAACAAUAUCUAGGGUACUAAGUACCAAAGGUAAUAAGCUUCUCAAACUUCACUUCAACGUAUCACCGUGGAGAACUCAAACCGAUGCAACCAAUGCAAUGGCAAGAACACAUGAAGUGGUCAAGUCCCUCACACUCUAAUCCCUCCACAACAACGAAAGCUAUGGAGAAAUAUGAGAGGAAGAACAAGGAGCUCACAAAGAACUCCAAGAUCUAAAUCCAAGGGGUUCCCCUCACAUAGAGGAGAAAGUGAUUGGUGGAGAUGUGGAUCUAGAUCUCCUCUCUCUUUUCCCUCGAGAAUAAGCAAGAAUCAUUGGAGGGAUUGAGAGUAAGCAAGCUCUAAGAAGGUCAACAAUGGAGAUAGAACAAGAGCUCAACAGAUAGAUAAGGCCAAGGGGGAAGAAGACCCCCUUUAUAUAGUGGGGGAAGGAAUCAGACCGUUACCCCCACUUACAGCCUGAGCCCAGCGGUACUACCGCUGGCUCCAGCGGUACUACCGCUGACCCUUCGACGGUACUACCGCUGGCCGCAGCGGUACUACCGCUGGCUGCAGUGGUACUACUGCUGAGCCCAUGGUAGCGCAAAGAUACUACCGGGCCAACCACUGCCAAGAAAGUCUUCGCAAAAAUGUCCGACACAGUACAACCGCAAAGAUGACGGUACUAAAAACUUGGAGCGGUACUAUCGCUGGCCAGGGGCGGUACUACCGCUGGGACAGCGGUACUACCGCCAGCUCUAGCGGUACUACCGCUAGGUCCAGCGGUACUACCGCUCGCCACUGAAACAGCCAUAACUUUCGCAUACGAGCUCCGAAUCGAGCAAACCCAAGCUUGCUGGAAAUCUUAAGACCAUGCAGAUAUGAAAAUGCCAAUGAUAUAGAGAUGUGAGUCCUCUAUGAAUGAAUAACCGUCAAAAACUCCAACAUCGAAAACAUCAUAGUAGAUGCAUAUGGACUCCGUUUUUGAUGAACUCGAGCUUGUCACGAAGAUGACCAUAAGCUCUAAAACUCACAAAGAGAAACACCAAACAAGAACCAAGAAGUAUGAUGCAAGGAUGCAAAUGGUUUGAGCUCUCAAUGAACGAUACGAUCAAGCUACUCACUUGAGAGCCCCCCUUGAUAGUACAGCAAUCUAUCCUAAACAGAAACCCUAUCAAGGGCAAACCUAUACCUUGCACCUCGUCCUCUUGAGCUAGAUGAUGAUGAUCUUGGCUUCCUCAAGAUGGACCACCUUUCUUGAUUGCGUUGGCUUGAUGAAGACUAGUUGAUUGCUCCUCCAUACUCACUAUGGGUGAGCCACUCUUCAGCAUAUCUUCACAAGUCCAUUGCCACCACAAUGGACGGCAAGCUUCAAGCAUGAUAUCUUCAUGCUGAUCCACUUGAACUUGCACAUCGCAAUCUUGAUGACGAUCACAACUUGACGUCAUACUUCAUGGGUUGUAUGAGAUCUUCCCUUUGACGCAAGCCCAUGGAAACACACCUAACCCCCACAUAGAACUCUCACGAAGACCAUGGGUUAGUACACAAACACGUAGUGGACAAUGCUUACCAUACCAUGGGAUCACUUGAUCCCUCUCGGUACAUCUUGUACGCUUUGUGUGUUGAUCAUCUUGAUUUACU